This 1115-nucleotide long non-coding RNA is filed under the name Olea europaea (common olive). Its description in RNAcentral is "long non-coding RNA (OEUR_LNC005760)". The record is from RNAcentral. Lineage: Eukaryota; Viridiplantae; Streptophyta; Magnoliopsida; Lamiales; Oleaceae.
CUAUGUAACGAUUAACUUAGCCUCUCUCUCUCUCUCUCUCUCUCGCUCUCUCUGCUUGAAGAUUAUCCUGACUUUUGACCUUUCAUCAAUCAUCGUCCAGGACGCAGAAGACAAAAUUGUCACAAAUAAAGUUAAUUUCACAAACAGGUAGACCCCAUCCUUGAAAACAAGACAAUGAUCUUUCUUCCUUCUUUCCAUAAAACUCUCCCUGUGAGCAUUUUCCCAGCUGAUUAGAUAAGAUUCCAGAUUCUCUUCCUGCAACCAUUAUAAUACCAAAAAGCUCAACCAGCAAACAAGAUUUAGCCUAUAAGUACAAAGAUGCUGCAAAGACUAUAUCCCUCUUGAUUUUGGUGAUGGCCUCUUCAAAUUUCGCUUCAAGGUGUGUCUCACCAAUGGAUUUCGCUGCUUGUAUUAGCUGCUGAAGAACUUCCUCCAGUCUCCGGAUUGCCCUGAUCAAGCUGCCUUCGAAAACCUGUGCAAAUUGCAUGAUUGUAGCUUAUAACUGUCCCUACAUACUGUACGAAAUGGUACUUACAAGUACCUAUAAGCUCAAACCAAACAUGCCCCCUGAAAGGUUGUAGCUGGUUGAUUGUGUGCACAACAGAAACCAAAUGAAAAGUGCUAUAUAUAAUGCAAUAAAUUAAGGUAAAUUACCCAAAAAAAAAAAAAAAAAAAGGUCCAAAACGCACACAAUAUUUUGCAUGUAGUACGUAUAACAAUUCUAGUUAGAAAUUGAGAAUCUGCACUCCAGCAGAUCAAAAAUCUAAAAUAAAUUAUUGGAUGAUACAAUAUACUAAAAGCCGUUUAAACUAUGCUAACCUAUGUAACGAUUAACUUAGCCUCUCUCUCUCUCUCUCUCUCUCGCUCUCUCUGCUUGAAGAUUAUCCUGACUUUUGACCUUUCAUCAAUCAUCGUCCAGGACGCAGAAGACAAAAUUGUCACAAAUAAAGUUAAUUUCACAAACAGGUAGACCCCAUCCUUGAAAACAAGACAAUGAUCUUUCUUCCUUCUUUCCAUAAAACUCUCCCUGUGAGCAUUUUCCCAGCUGAUUAGAUAAGAUUCCAGAUUCUCUUCCUGCAACCAUUAUAAUACCAAAAAGCUCAACCAGCAAACAA